AUGGCGGGCGAGGGAAGCCCCGACCUAAUGGGCGGCUUCUUCUUCCUCGUCAUCGACUCCGUCUGUGGUGUUCUCCUUCCUCCGUUUCUCGCGGCGGUUAAGAUUUUGGCUUGCGGUUCCUGGCCGAUGUGUUGGAACCGGUUCCUAGACCGCGUACGUUGGGUGGGCACACAUGUGAUACUCACCUACGAUGGCGGUGGCGUAUGCACACAAUACUCCUUCAAGGACGACAGUACAAAAGAAGAAAGAGUGCAUGACGGAGGACCGGACGACGUUGAAGACGAUAUCCCAUUGACACAAGGACCUAGAAGGGCUUCAAUGUAA
Molecule: ribosomal RNA, 324 nt
Filed under: Triticum aestivum (bread wheat)
Lineage: Eukaryota; Viridiplantae; Streptophyta; Magnoliopsida; Poales; Poaceae
Description: partial small subunit ribosomal RNA
Source: RNAcentral